CCCUUAGAUGUUCUGGGCCGCACGCGUGCUACACUGAGUGGAUCAGCGGGUCAGGUUGCGCGAAAGUGUUUCCUAAUCUUGAAAUCCGCUCGUGAUGGGGAUUGACGGUUGCAAUUUUCCGUCAUGAACGAGGAAUACCUUGUAAGCGCGGGUCAUCAUCCCGCGCUGAAUACGUCCCUGCCCUUUGUACACACCGCCCGUCGCUCCUACCGAUUGAGUGGUCCGGUGAAUAAUUCGGACUGCGGCAUUGACCGGUUCCCGAUCGUUGCUGCGGAAAGUUUAGUGAACCUUAUCACUUAGAGGAAGGAGAAGUCGUAACA
Molecule: ribosomal RNA, 320 nt
Filed under: uncultured eukaryote
Lineage: Eukaryota
Description: partial 18S ribosomal RNA
Rfam family: Eukaryotic small subunit ribosomal RNA
Source: RNAcentral